RNAcentral lists this ribosomal RNA (253 nucleotides) under uncultured bacterium. RNAcentral's name for it is "partial 16S ribosomal RNA". It matches the Rfam family "Bacterial small subunit ribosomal RNA", at positions 524 to 776 of the family's 1533-position model. The record is from RNAcentral.
UACGUAGGGGGCAAGCGUUGUCCGGAUUUAUUGGGCGUAAAGAGCGUGUAGGCGGCCAGGUAGGUCAGCUGUGAAAACUCGAGGCUCAACCUCGAGACGUCGGUUGAAACCACCUGGCUAGAGUCCGGAAGAGGAGAGUGGAAUUCCUGGUGUAGCGGUGAAAUGCGCAGAUAUCAGGAAGAACACCCGUGGCGAAGGCGGCUCUCUGGGACGGUACUGACGCUGAGACGCGAAAGCGUGGGGAGCAAACAGG